Gallus gallus (chicken) is the source of this 34678-nucleotide long non-coding RNA. The record is from Ensembl. NCBI's taxonomy places the organism in Eukaryota, Metazoa, Chordata, Aves, Galliformes, Phasianidae.
UUUUAAUUAAGUCUGCUUAUUUUCUUUAAGGCUGACAAUACAUCUGAGAAUUUGACAUUUAUUUAUGUGUGCAUUCCAGAUUUGCACACUGCAUAUCAAAACCUGAGACAAGCCCAGUGAGGGAUGGGGUGGGGUGCUGAGAUAGCGUAUCUGCCUUGCUCUGCUGCCCGCAAGUGAAAUUCUUUCCAUCUGAGUCCUAGCAAGGUGGUUCUGGGUGAAGCAGAGCCCUUGACAGAAGGCUGUCUCUUGCCCUGAGUCAGCCACAAAGUUCACUUUGUUUUCAUCCACCUCUGCCUCUCCUCUGGCAUCCCAGCUCCUCCAAGAUGGUGACUCCCAUCUCCAGUUCUCAGGGUGGGGAACCCGUCAUCUCUCCUGCUUGCUGUGCUCUCUUGUACUUGCUCUGUAGGAACAGGCCCCUGGGGCUAAACAGGACUUCCCUUUUUCCAAGUCAUUGUUUUCUCAGUUCAGGCCCACUCCAUGACCUAACACAGCACGUUUACUUCCCAAACAUAGGAGUGCGAUGCAGGGAGCAGAAGGGGAGGCAGUCCCUGCUCCCAGCGCAGGCAGCCCGAUGCUUGCAGCCCCAUGGGGGGCUCAUGAUACCCAGGCAGUGGGCAUUAUAUCAUGUUGUAUCUCAGGCAAAGUUUCUAGCCAGGGAGCUGCUGAUCCUUAAGCAGAAAGUCAUUCCUGAUGACUCUCUUCUCCCCAGGGCGGCGCUGACUCUGCAAGCUAAAACAGGAGCAGCAAGCAGUAAUUGCAUCCACUUGGUUACUGGAGUGAGAGGCUUGGAGUCUGAAUUCAGUGGUGAUCUGGGAAGCCCGAGUGUUCCAUGCACAGGCCGAUCCCACGACCCCUGAGGAUGUCGGCACCGAUGGGAACGCAUCGCAGCCCUCCCCAGCAGCAGUCCCCACAGGGGCGCUCCCUGUGCACCUCAGAGGAGCCAAUGCUGUAAAUCCCAUCCUGGUGGUCUGUUGUCACACCUUGCCCCUGGGAUGAGGGGAUGCUGGAGCCCUGAUCCUGACACAGCGGUAACUGCACUGCAGGACAUGCUGAGCCCCGGAAAUUUGGGCUGGAAGGGCUCUUUGGGACUCUGCUCAGAGGCACUUGCAAGAUAACAAACACUAAAAUAAAAUGAAGUGAAAUAUUGGAGAGCCUGCUUUUAUACCUCUUUUAAAACUGAACACAAAAGCCAAGUGAGAUCAUCGGGUUUAUUAGGCAGGAUAUUUCCAGUAAAGAUGGGGAAGCACUUCUGCCACCAUACAAGGAACUGCUCAGCCUCCAUCUGGAAAGUCACAGCCAAUUCCCAUCAGCUGUCUUUGGGAAGGAGGAAUCCAAAGCAGAACUCAGAAGAUGACUGGGACAGUGAGUGACACAGAAGUGACCAUGUGGGAUGUUCGGUGUGGCAGAGCUGAAGAGAGGGCACUGGUUUCUGUAGAUACAGCAGAAGGAAGAACAUUACAUAAAUGACAAUAAAUCUUUGGAUGACAGAGUGACUGUAAACUUCCACUCACGCUGGAAAUGAGGGUUCUGAGUCUUGGAGCAACCAGCUUCUGCAAGACGUUGCAUCAGGAGAGCAGGGCCGGGUUCCAUUGCAUAACCCACACACAAAUGAGCUGGCAUGUGAUGCUGUGAAAGAGGAGUCUGGCUGCAGUGAUCAUCUCCAGUCCCAUGUGCUCCUAGAAUACCGAUGAUUUCUUCCACUAGCCGUGGUAUUCCACAGGCUGCUGUCUAGCUGUGAUCUUCCAGAGAGCCAAAGUAAGCAUUAUUAUUUAGGUUUUAGCUCAGCUACAAUACAUCAUUUAGAAAAAGUCCUGCUGUGCUAAGCUGCAUUCAGUAGCAUGGCAACAUCCAGUGUAUAUAUUUGACUGCACUCUGCUUUGUCUUUUGUUAGCUCCGAUGUCAGCAGGUAAGUGAGCAGAGUGGCCCUGAGACCUGCCAGCAUGGGCACAGUGCUGGAAACUGUCUCAGUUUCACUUCUUUAGCAAACCUGGUGUUGCUGCGUUCCUCACCAGUGCCCAGCAUGCUGCUGUCAGUGCAUCACACCCAGAAUGCACAGACACUGCUUUGCUUUGCUCCUGACUUUCUGCAGUUUCCCUGUGGCAAGCUUCAGCUGCUUGAGCUCCUCUGCUCUGUGCCAUGGCUCCCUGCAGCCCCACACCUCCUUCCCUUUCCAAAAUGUAUUUUGAAGCUUCAGCUGUAGCGAUGUGGGUGCAUGUAACUGGGAGUGCUAACAUCAUGGUCACUACAGGGAGAAGCUGUGGCCCUAUGCCCUACAGUGGAGCUCUCCAAGACAUUGUGCCAGAGACUGCAGCUUACUCAGUGUGCUCCGGAAUGGGAUCUAGGAGCUGCAACAGCGUUUGCUUAAUGGCCAGCAGUGACAGGUUUAUAAAUCAACAUGGCACCUAUUACCUCCAAUGGAAAUGGUAAUCUGUUUUUUCUCCUAGCGGCUUCUGUUGCAAUAAUCAUGUGCUUGCAGCCUCCUCCAGGGUACAGUGCAAUGCAUCUCCCUUGCAGGAGUCACAUCCCUGCUGGGAGCCCCCCCAGCUCAGCAGGGCACUGAGCACCCCCCUGACUGCUGGGAGCCGCAGGUGCUCAGCACCUGAGCUCAGCCCUCUGGCAGGAUAUGUGCAGGUUCACUCUGCUUAUCACCAACAGCUGCAGGGCAGCCUGGAAAUGGAGUUGCAGGAAGGGAAGGGAUCCAUACGGCUGCUUUCUUUCUGCUUUUUUCCCCACUCUGAGGUAUGGAGGGCUGCUGAGCGUGGUGGAGCCCUGCAUUCAGAGCACCCUGUGCAGUCGGCAGCAAGUGGCCGGCACAGCAGCACCCUGGUGUCAGGUGUCUGUCUUAGCCUCUUCCCAGCAAGGUCUCCAUCUAAAUCAACAGAAGCUCUCUGGACUCCGAACCAUGGCAUAUGUGUAUUUUUAGAAGCCAAUCAAUCAGUGGUGACUGUUCAAGUUCAGGCAAGUCAAACACAGCCUGCAAAGUUACACAGAAGCACUGUGUGUUGUAGAAGGGUUGGUGAGCCUGCUUAUUAUUUGGCGUGCUGUGCCAAAUCCAUGAGCUGCUGAGGCUGGGUUCUUUUCAGAGAUAUCCAUAAGAAGUGCAAGUAUAAACAGACUGUGGAUUGUAAAACACGCUCUUUUUAAUUGAAGCAAUAAAGGACUGUUUGUGCUUCCAUAGAAGCCCUCUUUCAAGGUGCUGUGUGUUUUCCAAACUUUAACACAGCCCUGGGUUCAGGGUUUGUCAUGUGGGCCUUUCUGUAGGUGAGGAAACUGAGGCACAGAAGACUGCAGAUGCUGCCAAGGAGCUACAGAGACUGUGAAGUCCCAGCUUGUCUUCAGGGAAGUGCUGUGCUGGGCAAAGAAAACAAACACCUGUGCGCUGGCUUCCCUUCACAGUCUGAUCAGCGGAAACAGCAGCAGAGGGGUCAGGUCAGCCUCAGGGCUCUGGGCAGCAGCAGCAGGUUGGCUUUUCGGUGGCUUGGCUGCAAGGCAGGAACAUCUUGAGGCCUUUCUGGGUGUUUCUUCAAAGAGCGUUGCUGGGGUUUGGAAGCGCUGAUCAUGGAGCAGGUGUACAAAUGCAGCGUGUCGGAACAAAAAAUCACUGUAAUGAAUUGUAUCCCUUCAUGAAAAAUGCAGAGGCUCAGUAGUUGUGGGGAAGCAGGCGCAGCCUGGAGUCGAGCUGGACCUCUAACAUCAGACACCAACCAGUCAGAGAGCAGCUUAGAAAAUGCCGGUGUUCUGAUUUCCAGAGCCUCAGUUUAUCCAACUUGAAAAUGGAACUGAUGCUUUCCUAUGUCACUGACCACUCAGUCAAGAAACGUGGCUUUGGCCUCUUCUGCUUCUCUGCUUCUUCAUGCCCUGCCUGAUUGCUACAAGACAUCUGCUCCAGAGCUUCUCGUUGGAGUCUGCACAGCUGCACAAAAUGUAGUGCAUGAUCUGAUUCUCAAAUUGGGCUUAACUCAUAUGUGCAGUGCCAGCUGGAGGGGCCUGCCGAGUUUUUGCUGAUGCAUCAGAAAUAUAUUUUUAGGAAGGUUUCUCUAUAAUUAUCACAUUAUAGCUCCUUCUGGAUCACUCAGAGUAUAGUAAACAAUUGCUAUACUUGUUAGAGGUCAUGAAUACAGAAAAACAUUCCUCUGUGUGAGGUCUGCUGUUAAAUAAUAACUUGUCGUUUCAUGGCGUGGGGGGAGUGAAUGCCCUCGAAGGGACGUGCUGACAUUGUUCAAGCCAGUGAUCCAGUUCCUGUAAUUUACACCACUUUCUUAAAGCUGCUUCUCUGCACAAGAACAAUGGAUGUGCUGAGGGACAGCUGUUGCCCCGCUGCAGCUCCCAGCGCCUCGUGUGUUGAUCCUCUCUCCGGUUUCCCUGCUACGCUGCUGCAGCAACACGUGGAUGGCUCACUGCUGGAGGCCUUGGAGGUGAUGGGCAGCUGGGUGAGGAAGGUGGUUAGCGGACAGCUGUGCAGGGUGCAGCCCCAAGCAGAUGGGGAAGGGGAGUGGCAUUAGAAAGCGAUCACGCAAAGAGAUUAUUAAUGAGUAAUUUCAUGAUCAGCGAGUUGAAUGAACAGCGCUCACCUCUGUGGCAUCUCUGCUGUCUGGUGUAGAGGGAGCAUCCGCUGCUGUCUUUUCCUCAGGGGAUGCUAAUGGUGUCCAUGUCCUCCAUCUGUCAUCAGCAGCGUCUGUCUGGGACCUUCAGGGCUCUGAGAAAUCCUCCUCUCUGUCUCCUUGAAAUAGCCUGACACGAUCAAGAACUACUUGCACGCAUUCGGCUCACACAGUGCUCCAUGUACAGCUUUAUUCCCUUGGGAAAUCCAGGCUUUACAAUAAUCACCUUGCUGUUCAACCAGGUGUAACAUGCAGUUGUGAUUUUCAUAGUAUAGUAGAAAAGCGAGGAUCUGGCUGUGGCUGCAAUCAGUUAACAAAACAGAUAAGUUAGGGAUCCCAGAGCCCCUGGAGACCUAUCUCAAGGCCAAAGAAGAAACUGAGAAGUCUGAUGGAGCUGCAGAAGUGGGGUAGAGCAGUUAUCUCUGGCCAAACAGGUGACGGAUGUGUCCGUUAUGACUUCUCAGUCCCUCCCUGUGGCAUGGGAAUCUGCCCUUUAAUAUGUGGUCAAAAGAAAAUUAGGUCUUGGCAAAAACAUAGCAAAUUUAAGAGCUCAGUCUGGAAGGAGCUCAGCAGGGAGGCGUAGGAGCUGACUGCAGCAUUUCAAAGUCUUUCUAGAAGCUGUGGUUUGGAGAGGAAAAGGAGAUGAAAUCUUCCGUGUUGCAGCAUGCAAGAACUCACCAGCUCUACCUCUCCAAACGUCGCUGUGACAUGGCUCCACCAUAUUCAUACUCAUGACUGAGGGGAUGGCAGACUCCAUACUCAGCCCCUUGCUUUUCUUGGUUUGUGUUGCAUGCUCCAUGUUGUUUUAAUGUAGUUCCUAGUAUUUAAUGCAUUUUGAUUGCUUUCUCUAAUAACAUCGACUGAGUGCUAGGAGCCAAUCUAAACAAGCUGUGCCAAUAAGCCAAACAUUUCACUUCAACCAGCAAAGCGGAUGCCUCUUACCCCUACUCACGCCUGGCUGUGCAAACCAAGGACCUCGCUGCUCAUCAGGGAGAGCAAAGCAAAAGCCUGGUGUGUUGUGGGCAGAGCUGGGCUGUGUCCCUGUGUCCUUGUGUCCCUGCCACGCGUGUGCCAUCGAGGUGCAGGUCAGGCAAUGUGCAAAGCUGGCUCUUCUCGAGGGAUGAAUGCGGCAUCUUGUCUCAUGCACUUUGACAAGCUGGGUCUUGGUUUUGUGAGACCGUGAGCACCUCUAAAUCCCUUUGACAUCAGUGGAAGCCGGACUUCACGUUCUGCAUCACUGGAAGCCUUUCCAAGCAAUUAAAAAACAACCCCAGACCUCCUCCCCUGGUGCUGAUCUGUGGUGUGGUGUUGACGUAAGUGUACUGGAGUUUUACUUACAGCAGCUGGGUAGUUGGCACUUUUAUAGGACUUUUUAAAAAAUUCUUUCUGUCUUUUGCACAAUAUUCCUGAUUUUUUUUUUUACUCUGUUUGUUUUUCUCCCACAAGCCCAGCCUUCAUGUCUGUCGUCUCAGCACUGCUUCCUGUUGUUCUCUGUGAUCUCCCUUGUUCCAUCUUCUCUUCUCUGGUUUCCUCCCUUUCAUUUUAGCCUUAUUUUCCUCAGGCUGCCUGAGCCCAUCCUCCCAGAGGGGAAAUGUAUCUGUCUCAUUCCCGUCUCUGUUUCCCUCCCAGCCCCACAGCUGUUCCCUCUCCAGCAGACCCCACUCCUGCUCAGAGCACCAUCUAUGUCCAACCCCUUUCCUCCAUCACUGCAGGUCAACAACAGAGAAAACAGAAAAUGCACCAGGAGAGGGGGGAUUACAGCCCAGAAGGAUCGUUCCUGCGAGAUGCCAAGUGCUGUCUCACCAGUGCUCACCUGGACUGCUUGCAUCUGGCUGGAUGGUGGAACCCCCAUCCCCAGCACUGACCAUUUGUGAUUUUUCAUGCCACGCAAUCCAUCACUGCUCCUGGGAGAUUUUUGCCUUUCAUGCUGCCCAAGCCUGAAAGCCGUAAACUCUGCAGUGAGGAUGUGGUGAGGUGUGAAUGUACACUUCAUUUCCAAGCGGUUCUAUUCCCCUCAUGUGCUGCACUUGACCAGCAAAGCAGUGGGCACCAUUCUCUGUGCUUUGGCCCAUGUAAUUACGUGUUUUCUAGCUGUGCUCGGUCAAAAGUAAUCAUGGAGUUACAACCUCAGCUGGGACAGAAACCAGUCAAUUUAACAAGCUGAGUUGUGUGCGAUUACAGAAGAUACAUCCUGCCACGGAUUUGUUCUGCCACCCUUUUGCUCUCCUAAGUAGAACACACUGUGGGGACGGAUGGAGCCGGAGAGUGGUUGGAGGUGGCACAGUCUGCCCAUCCUGCUGGGGUGAGAUACCUGUACAGCUUAUGGGUGUGAAGGGACUUUUCCCUCCAGAGAAGUGGGAUGCAUUUAGUUGCAGUCUGCAUAUCUGCCUCAGGCACCUCGUGAGCCCUGCCUUGGGUGUGUUUUUACAGAAUUGGGGAAUUAUCAGAUCUGGAAGGAGAAUGUGCAUGGGCUGAUCUGCAAGCACUGCUGUCCACUUGUACCCAGCUGCAGUCGCAUCCCUCGCUCUGUCCCUUCGCCUCUCCUGUAUUCCCCGACUCAGGCUUUGCCUUGUUCAGCAACAAAGAAAAUGCCUUCAGAAACAUCGUUGCCCUGAUGCAGCAGGAGGCUGUGACAGAUACAGUCACUGCUGCGGAAUGAGCACACAGCAAUGCUGCGCUGUCUGUGCCAUUAUUGUUCUCUGCUGCAAACUGGAAGCGACUGAGAGCAGGGCAAGGCAGCGGCCCUUCUGUAACAGCCCCCCUGGGAUGUGUACACAUCUCCAGUGGUGCAGGAUGUGCACAAUGGGCAUGGCUGGCAGCUUCUGCUGUGAGGAUGAUGACAGAAUCCCUCCUCUGGAUUUCACCUCCGUAUCUCAUACCCUCUCAGAGAUUGCUCAGCAGUGAUUGACAUUCAAACUGCCUGCUCUUAAAAAACCAAGUAAGGGAAUGAGAAGGGAAUAUGUAAACUUCCAGGGUAAACUGUGUUGAAAAAUUAAAGGGUGAUACGGUGGUCGGCUCCAGGCUGGUCCUGACUCUCAUGGGAAUAGUUAUGACCUCUCCAAAGGUUCUUCUCAUCAGGUUUUGUUAUGGGGAAGUCACUGUGCAUCCCCUCUGUGAGCAGUGAGAGCUGUGGGACUGCCCGCUCAGUGCUGCACUGACAGCUCUGCAACUGCCAGCAGCAAUAGGUAUGUAUGGAGUGAGGGGAAAAAAUCCAAAGCACAGCAUGAGUUUGCAUUACCUCUUGGUUAUGUGGGUUACUGAAUUCAAGAGCAAGUUUUAGUUACACAGCACAAACAGCCCACUUGUGAAUAUGUCACAGUGAUGCUCUGGCACGCUCAGCAGCCCAUAAAAAUGCCCACUCUGCUUAUACUGUUGAAUUGUUUCAGCCUUUGAUAAACCUUCUGUUUCAGCCUGUUGUAGAUUUUAAAGCAUUUCUUGCUAAUGGGUUUUCACAAUGUGGUUUAAGGGCUGUUGUUAUUAAUAAAUGUAACUGCACUGAAUAGUAAUUUGAUAAAGAUGAAAGAGGCAUUGAUGAAUUCCACUUCCCUUUCAGCUGCUGCUAGGAAUUUUUUCCUCCUUCAGAAUAUGUUGCAUUUAAUCUUGAUUUCCUUUUUGUUAAAACUGCUACUUUCUCACGUUAUAAAGAGAAUAUCAGUGGAGUCGGACCAGUUGUGCCAUCUUCUGUGUGGUAAAGAUCCAGUUCUGCUCAGUGAAUGGCAGAAAUUUCCUUGCUGAACAGCAGGGCUGGCUGGGUGUCCCAUCAGAAAUGCCUACAAAUAGCGUGUAAGUUUAAAGUUGUUUUCUUAAAAUAUGAUUAAUGGGUCUUAACGUUGAUGGAAGCAUUAAAAGAAAAUAAUUUAUCCACACUUUUUGCUAAUGGACUGAUCUCCAUUACGUUAUCGUUACAAUGGCCUCGUUGUGUAUAAAUUAAUUAGGGACUUAGUUUCAGUACCAAGCAGUGUGCGAUUGGCUCCAGUUGAACAGGAAACAUGGGGUGUCUGAAGGCUGCUAUCUACCACAACAAGGGCUCUGCUCACACUCGUGGCACACAAUAAUGGGAAGUACUGUGAGUUAUGUUGGGCCUGCAUCAUAAAAGGAUUGCAGGGACAAUGGUGAGGAGAAAUGUUAGCAGAAAGAAAACGGAAAGCUUUCUUUCCUAAGAGGUGAGCUUUGCUUUAUUAGAAUCCGAUCCACGCAGAGAUGGAUGUCUUCAGAGAGGAGGCAGGUAUUAAUCAUGGGAAAUAAUCUGUUUUCACAACUCGCAGAGCACGAGUUCUCUUGACAAAAAAAGAUCUUCUAUUUUUGGGUUGUGCUUUUAAUUGAAGAUGCAUGAGGUCCACAUGCAGAAAGGACCAAAAGGCAGUGUGAAGCUGGAAAGUGCUAAGAGACGGGGCCGUGCUCCUGCCCCCCCAGGUUGCCUGCUGUGUGACACUGCACAGCCGCUUCUCUUCUCUGUGCCUCUUUGCUUCCUCCCACUUUCUGUGCAUCGUCUUUGUUAGCUCUUUUCAAGGGCUGAAGCUUUCUUGUACCUUGAGUUAGCACUGCAUUUAGCUUCUCCGGAUGCUAUGGUAAUACCAUCAGAACUAACAGUCUGCCACCCAGCUCAUUCUCUCAACUCAUUCUUUUGCGAAGCUGCACAUCCUCGUGAAUAAGCAGCUCAGGGAUUUAUACAGAAAGCAGCAAUGUGGAUCUGCCUCAGACCUUAAGUAUAACUCAGGAGUAAAUUCAAUGAAAUUCAGCAGGAAUACAAUAGGUAUUUGUUACAGGGGAACCGAGACAUUCAAUACAAAAUACCAGAAUGCUACUUGCAGUAAAGUUUAUAAUACAAGACAAGAAAAUGGUGUGAUGUCUUGCUCCUUGCACAUUGCACUCAACUUCUCCCUUGGGGUGACUGUGCUACGUUAUAAUCAGUCAGUUUUCCUGGACUAAUUUCCUUGCAUAGUAGGUUAUAAAUAAUUAUUAUUGGUAUUGCAUGGAGUCUGUAAGUUCCUGAACAACCGUGACCGAAUUCUUAAUUUGCCAAUUACUGAUACAAUGCAUGUGUUUUUGUGAUUACUUUAAUUAUGUAUGAAACGUAUGUAAUUGAAAGAAUACAAAGUCAUCUUUUUUCUUUCUUUCUUUCUAGAUUCACAGACUGAUUGGAGGACAGCCCACCUCUGACCAUCUCUGUGUUUAUAAAUCCUGUUUGGACUAACGUGAUAUUCAGGGGUAAGCACUUGUUUAUACAGUUUAGCAGUGUUAGCCCCUAUGUAGUCUCUGAAGACAAUUCCAGUAGGUUGUCAGCAUCCCAUGGGCCACAUUGUGUGCUGUAGGAAGAUUCUCAGCAAUGAAAAUGCAGUUUUAUCCUUCUCAAAGUGCCCCUUACCAAAGUCAGCCAAGCAUCCAGAAGCACGUACUCUGAGUGAUGGAUGCAGCAUUAAUAUUCUACUGACUUGCUAAGCAUACAAGAUAGGCCAAGUCUUUCCAGAGGUUUCAAUUUCCAUCAUGUCCCCCAUUUCUUUUGGCUGAACCAUGCCAUAGUGUACAUCCAGGGCUUGACAGCUCUAAUUUCAUAGAAGCCAAUGGACUUGAAAGAUAAUCUAUUGAUGUGUGAGAGAGAGGAAUCAGGCCUGUGGCCAGAGUCCCAUUGACUUCAGUGAAAGCAGACAGUGAUGCAGUUGCUGUCACAUAGGUCUUGAGAGCAGACUGCUUUAAUAACUUUGUCCUCAGGUGCCCAACUCAGUCAUGGUGCUAAACAAAUGGAGCACACCUACCCGACCCGGGCUGCUGGAUGCUGCUGGGUGGUCCAAGACAUAGAUAUUGCCAGUGAGCACAAUUGCUCUUGCAGAGCCAGUACAAAGAGCUCAUGAUGCAGUCCAGCUUUCCUUCUCUCCUUCUUUCAACAGGAACGCAGGUCUUGACCACACACACUGUCAACACAGGACCUUGGACUUGAACUUUGUGCCUCGGACUUCAGCUUUGUGAGCCCUCAGACAGCCCUUCUGCAGCUGCAUCAGGCCACACACAGUCACAGCUCUCAGCUGGGAGACGACAGGCACAAAGCUGGCACUGGCUCUGUGAUUACUUCUCUGCAAAGUCAAACAGGUGAGCAUACGCUGCUGGUGGCCUAAGUGCUUUUGUUUGCCUUAACACUGGCCUUGAGCAGCAGUUAAGUGCAGCUGGCACUGGCCUCAGGAGGCAUCAAUCACCUGCUGCUCCUCAUAAGCUUUUCUAUACUGCAUAAGAAGCCAUGUUCUUGCUCUAGUAGUCCCAGAGAGCUGUGGAGACAGCACAGAAGCAGCAUGAAACUGUCUUUCUGAUUUUAUAUCAUUGGUAAGCUGUGUUGCAAAGGCUGGCAUUGCUCAAGAGUUACACACACCACAAACUCGGUAUGACGUUGCGGAACAUUGGUGUCCUGCUCUCCUGGGCUCCUUUUAUAAUACCAACUAGAGAGAUUUUCCAGGACAAAUGGAAAUUUGGUCCUUGAAUUUGUGAUUAUGUAUACAAACAGGCCUCAGGCAUGCGGAAUUUGGCCUAUUUGACCAAUGCUCUGAGGAUGCUCUGCUGCUUUUUCUCUAGAAAGCAAAGGCAGUUUUGUGCCCAACAGAAGACAGUUCUUCUUGAGUUUUUUUGUUGGUCUCCUCUGCUCCCUUCCUCUGCAAAGGGGUGUGAAGGGGUGGUGCAGCAUGUGGGUUUUAACUGGACACCAUCCCUUUAAUGUGGAGUUGUGUUUUUUUUUUUUUUUUUUUUUUGCAGGGCCAAAAAUAAAUGCUAGUGAAGGAAUAAACAGACGUGAAAAGAAGGCUUGGACACUUGGAGGACAAGACUGCUUUGUGUUUCCCAAAGCAAUAAGCCUCUUCACAAGGAGGUUACUCUUUCAGAAAAACACGGGUCCUGUGACACUGCCAAGGUCAGUAGGUGCCCAGCAGAGCAGGGAGCAUUCAAGGCAGACGUGGUUUGGGAAAGGGGCAUAUUUGCUCCCAUUGAAAGAGGAGAGAGGAGAGAAAUUUACAUUGCUCUGCCAUUUCAGCUCUUUCUACAGGGUUUGAACACGCACCAGUUUGGCAGCAGAAGGCAGCUUCCACCUAUCUCAGAUGGCAACGUAGCCCCAGCACUGUGGCUGUAUCACUCGCAUGCUGGCUUGGGAAGAGGGCAGUGCUGCUGCAGUUCUGCAGCUGAGGAGGCAGGUAAAGAGAGGACAUGCAUCACAUGCAGAGUCCCGGCAGUAAGGCCUGGAUUUCUCAAGGUGCUUUGCAUUUUUCAGAAGUCCCUUGUGGACGUGGCUCUCUUCUUGUGCUGGUGCUGUACGAGCACUCUAAGCUAGGCCUCUGCUACCUGUCGGCGUGUCUCGGACCGGUCAGCUGCAGUCUGGAUGGGCUUUGCUUUCUGCAGGAAAUAGGCAGAAUUCAAAGCAAAUAGCUUGGUACAGACACCUUGCUUUCUGGUAAGCAUAAUUGGUUAGCAAAGUGCUGCAGUGAUCUCAGUGGGGGUAGGAAGCUUUGGACUUCACUUUAGGGACUUAACUCAUUCUCCAUCCAGUGCAGUAUCUUUUGAAAUGUGACUUUUUAGGCUCUUUAUUGUCUCAGUUGGCUACAGAAUGAAAAUGCUGGGUAAUAUUGAGCAAUGAUAAGAUGAUACAGAGUCUGUCUCCUGCACAAAGGGAAGUGCAGUUCUUUCGCUGUCUCUAAAGCACCAAGUUGUGAGUCAUCCAAAGCAUCUGAGGACUCUGGGUAAGAAACAUGAGCUUUUAAAGGCACCUCAUUAGGACUGAAUCUUCAGCACCGUCUGUAGUGACACACCAAAACAUACUCAUCUCAAAGAGGGCAAAUGUUGAGAAGUUAAGGGAGCUAAUUAGUGGAAUCAGCUGCACUGCAGAUCUGAGGAAUUGAAUGUGAUGGAACUUGGAUUCCAAAACCAGCUGAAACAUGCAGGAAGAUGAACCCUGACAGGAAAUGCUCCAACCCCAGUGGGAUAAAUAACCAGCCCCAAACACGUGGAGAGCAUUAACUGACAUGCAGAAGUUCUGAUUGGCAUGAGGGUAUUCUGCUGGCAUGCAGCUAAGGAUUGAAAUCAGAUGUCUGGAGAGGAACUGCUACAGAAUACGAUGCUCUGCUCUGCUCUGCUCUUUGAUGGAGGCCAUCACUCUUAUCACAGGGCUGACAAAGCAGCUUACCCUGCAGGUCCUGAACAGCCACCACUCCAGUGACGUGUUCAGUGCAGCAGUUCUGGACCUGCCUUAUGAGUUACUGCCACUGCCACAAGGAUGGCAUUGGAGAAGAGUGGUGGAGCAGAAGACUGAAGGCAGUAUUUGCCUCAGUCAUCCAAUUUGAAGCUGCUGGGAUGGGAAAGGCAGAGACAGGAUGAAAAAUGUCAAAAGUGAACUUGUGAAUUGGACUUGAAAAGGAAAUUAGAACAGAUGGCAGAGGGUUUCAGCUAGAGAAAUAAAAAGAGGAGAAACGUGGUCAUUAUGGAGUGAGAAUGGGGUUGAGAUUAAGACCCAUCCACAUAUGGUCUAAAAAUGAAUUAAAAACACUUUGUCCACAUUUUCAGUAGAGAUGAUCGUAUUGAGCAGUGGGACAAAGACAAGAUUUCUAGUGGGAAUAUACAUAAGGGAAUGAAAAUUAUCACAUGUAAGGUGGAAGGAAAAGCAUGAAGAAUUCGGUGUGCUCAGGUGAAGGUGCACUGGCAGAUUUCCAUCCCAGGAUUUGGCACAUUAAAUGAGUUCAGCUUAACCUGAUAUUUCUCUUUGAUGACUGAUUAUUUUUUUAGGCAAAUGAAAUACAGGUGAUUUACUCUAUCCAGAAUCUGAUAUUAUACCACAGGGGAAAUUACUCGUUGAAGUUGAGAUGAUGGGGAUUAGUGUGGAUGGUGAAUGCAAACCUGUUAAAGUGCAGAGGAAAGGGGAGCUCUGAGCAGAGAAGAAAUGCCAGACAGAGGCAGUCAGUAAGUGGAACUCCUCAGGAGUCAGUGUUGAGCUCACUCUUGCUUCUUUCAUUAACGAGUCUGGCACAGCAGUAGGAAUGUAGUAAAGAAAUCUGCUGAGGACACGGGCUUUGUUAAUACAGAGGAUGAUCGGAACAUCAAUCAGCAAUGAGUGAAUGACAGAAUUCAUCUGAAAUAGAAUAGAGAAAGUAUUAAGACAUGCAUUUAGAAAUUAAUAACUAGAAUAUCAUAUUACUUACUUGAAGAUGACAAAGGCAGGGGGGUGGAAAAAAAACCACAGAGAAUAAUUCGCUCCCAGGGAUGACUGUGAGCCACCAAUCUGAUAUGGAGAAGCAAACACAAUCCUAGAAGGUACAGGUUCACUCAUGUUCGAGGAAGAUUAGCAGGUACAGAGAAGGGCAUUGAGGAUGAUCAGAGGGUUUGGAACAAGAGGAGACUAGAAGAGUUUCAUUUGUUUAGUUUUUCAAAACAAAGGCUAGAGGAGAUAGGAUUGUUUUCAGUAAAUAUAUCUGAUAGGUAAAGAUCAGAGAAAAAAGAGAAUUGUUUAAACUACAUUAUGAUGCUGGCACAAGAACAAAUGAUAUUAAGGCUGAAAAUUUUAAAUGAAGUGCUGGGACAACCUGCCAAAAAGCACGAUAUGAUGUAAUUGAAUGUAACAGUAGGAGGCUGGAUCAGUAAUCCAGAGCCCUGUGUUCCUAGAUAACUUCUUUUUUGGGAAGGGAAUUAGCCACAGCAGCUAAAUGCAGGGAAUGGAAAGAACAGCCCGGACCAACACCACAAAGGUGUUCCCAGUGAUGGAGCAGUGCGGUGUGUGGUGCCUAUAUGGAGUGGUUUCUUUCUUAGUAAGAAGACCAGGCCGCAGUGUGUGCUGCUGUACAGCUAAGUGCCAGCUGUACCAGAAAAGCAGUGUCACUAAAACAUUUCGCUGUGGGUUUGAGCUCUUGCUUUUUACCCACAGUGUGACCGUCUUUCACCUCCCAAACCUAAAUAUACAUGGCUGAAAGCACACCUUCAGGAAUGGCUGUCCCAGCACUGCCAGUGGCUCGCAGGCUGUGCAGAGGCUGGAAGCAGGCAGUGUGCUCGGCUCCCCGCUCUGUCCCCUGGAGCUUUCCUUUUCUGAUGCCCUGUUAGGCAGAAUGCCCACUCACGGGGAAUACUGCUGUACCUCUUUGAAGAGAAGCAGUAAAAAGGCUUUUGGCAAAGCGGCCUCUAACCAGCACCUCUUAAAUGAAGCUGGCUGACAUACACGCGUGCUGCAGUGAUGCCCCUGCAGUGGGAAGAGCCCCCUGACCUCAGGGCACGGGACCUGCUGGUCCUGCAGCCCCUCUGGAGCAGGGGCUGAGCAGCAGCUGGUGCCGGGGGCUGGGGCUGCUCUGCUCUCCCACAGGUCUGCACCAGGUGCCCCACGCUGCUCAUCCGAGGGCAAGAAAAUGCAGCUGGCCAGAGUCCUUGGGUUUGGAAGCAGCCCCACCAGCUAACAGGAGGGCCUUCCCUUUUCCUCCCCCCAAGAGAACUGGCAAAUUCAGCUCUUCAAUGGCACGAGCUCAUCUCAGCCUUGCCUAUAAAUAGAUAAAUGAGAUUCCUCCAGUCCCAGUGAGCAAUUCUGACAUCCUCCCUUUGCCUCGCAGAGAGCUGAGUCACAGGCACUCUGCACUCCAGUCCCUGCAUUACUUACAUGGUCUCAAAGGAAAUUUUAACACAUCCAAUGAAUCAUCAGGGAUUGGAUCAUGUUUAAAGUUAUUCCAGUGGCAUUUCCCUUCUAUUGUAGCAAGUCUGCCAACACCUAAAACUUUAGCUAAUCUGGACUCAAAAUGCAUUGAGGAAAUAGCAUGUUGACAUACACAGCUACUAAUACAAAUAACUUAAAAAGUUCUCUUAAAUCUGCAUCAACAAAUAAAUGACCCUUAGUGGGUUCCUUUAGCACUUCGGUCCUGCUAAUUUUGUCAGACUGCUUUGUUUUGUAGCUGCUUAUUUAAAAGAACUCAAAAGUUGGAAAUGUUUUAAUAUUCAGUCUUUAGGUCCCUAAUUUAAUCUCCUGCAGGUUUCCUGCCAAAGUAUUAUUUGCACUGAGAUGGAGCUUGCAGCCCUGUGCUCGGCCUUUCACAGAAAUGCACAUGUUCCUGUUCUUACCCACGAUAAAAAUAAAAUGCCUGCAAAGCAAGGACAAAACCAGAGUGGUGUUAAGUAUAAAACACACAGAGUUAUCUGCCGGCUGCACGAGGCUCUGAGCUCCAGCAUGAAGCUGUAUCUCCUGAUGGGGCACUGGCACUUGUUACCCUUCCUUCUCCCACCCGGGACAGUGUAGUCUGAUUGGCUUAAAGCAACACAGCAUCUGCAAUCAGAGGAGGUCUCCUUCUGCCUCAGAAACAACUGAAGAGUGCAAAACUCUCCAGCAGAAUUUGGGAGCUGUGAAACAAAUAGAAACACAUUUCUCUCUGUUGGUUUUCUGGCUUGCCUUGCUGUAUCUUAGAACUUGUUGGGACUUUCCACUCAUCCAGAAUCCGGUUACCAGACUCUCCAUUUGAAUGAACAAGAAAUGCUAACAUUGGCUGGCUUGCUGCUGUGCUUUAGUACUCUGAGACCUGAAACCUGGCUGGUUCUUUUGAUAACCCUAGGAAUGCUGUGUCUUAUUCAAAUCACAUCUUUCUAACACCUUUUCAUAAAGCAACUCUCUGCCUGUGUGUAGACUGUUAACAAGCAUUUGUGCAACACAUUCCAGCAUGAGCUGCAGUCUCUCCAUGAGAUGAUGUGGCUCCUACACUGAGGCUCACUGGUUUAUUUAUCAGCUUAGCACAGCACAGCUUUGCUUGACAGUGUUCUGCCAGCUGUUACUAUACAAUAGCACUGGGAAAGAAGAUCAGUUUUGGCUCUCAGUGGAAUUGGCCAUAAUUCAGCUACCUGUUGACAAAUUAUGAUUUAUUUAACAGCAUAAACUGUAAUAUUUGUAUAGCUGAUAGUUUUCACCCUUCCCUGCAGCUGGAAAAAAAAAAAAAAAAAAAAAGAAGAGGAACUCCCAGAAGUUCCUCACUUGAAACUGAAGUUUGAUUGUAGUAACGCCUUGUACUGCUGUUUCUGUGCAGGAAAAAUGACAUCUCUAAUGGACAAAUCAGUGGUGUCUGUGUGAUGCUGGAAGAGGGCAGGUGCGUUGAUAGGGAUCACACAGCUUCUUGCUUGGCCUCCUUCCUGCAGCAGUAAUCUUUGCCAUGUAGUGAAGGGAUGGAGGAUGGCUGGUGGGGCCUCCCGAGUGGGGCUGUGCUCUGAGCUGCCAUGGGGACAAGGUGCAGUCCAGGCCUCCAAGUUCCCCGUAAUGCAGCAUGCAGGAUGUGACCUCAGGAGUGCUGGGGGUCCUGCUAAGGAGAGCCGCCUUCACAGAAGGCAAACGAGGUAAGUCAAAAAAAAAGGGGCUUUAGAAUAAUUGUGUAGAUGGCCUUGUUCCACCUGCAGCAGUGAGCUUAGUGUAACUUCUCAGCCCGCACUCCUGCCUGUGCUGGGAGUGGGACAGUGGUGUGGCUGCACCAGGUUGGUAAGGGCUACUUCCAUGUACUGCAUGCUUCCGAAAUAGGGGCCAGUAAUUCAAGCCAAAUGACACAGCAGAUCCACAACAUAAAAAACAACAAUUAACCUACCAAUUUUUGCUCAUGCCUUUAAAAUACGCUCCGCCAAACUGUACUUCAUGACUAUCUCUCAGGAGGGCCAGAUUCUGUAGGACAUGUCCUCAGCUUGCAGAAAGAGAUCAUUAAUCAUUAGUGUGCCCUGGUCCCUGGCUAUUUUAAUCACUGGUGAAAUACUCAUGCAGUUCCCACUCCUAAAAAUGGUAUUUGACUCCAAUGCACAUGAUUUCCUUUGGCUUCCUUUCCCCAUUUAAGAGCAAGCCAUAACAGCCUGGAAGUACAAGCACUGGAAUCCGUAGAUUUGCUUCUCAUUCGCCACAGAGCCAAAGCUUGGUACUGCAGGUAGCAUCUGUGCUGACCAAAAGAUCAGAAUAUAUUGUGACUGGCUGUCUGUGACAGCCCUUCUGCCUACAGACUGAUGGUCAAACCCUGUCCUUUGUCUGUGUGCUUGAGACUCGUGACAUCUAUUCAUUUUGCUGAGGUUUUAUUUUGUUUUCUUUGUCUUUAUAGAGAACCAAAUCUCAACCAGUACCAACUGGGCCCCAGAACAGAGUCCUGCUCUUGGGAAGGCUGUCCUGGUUGUCCCACCAAUUCUCUUAAUUAAACUUGAUUGACUCUGGCCUAAUUAAAAAGACACAGACCAGCAGUAAUCUGCUAAAACUAAAGGUUGCUUGGCAGCUUGGAUUUCUAGUUUUGCUGAAAGUAGUUUAAAACAUGAAGAAAGUUUGCCUUAAUUACCAUAUUUCCUCCAUGAAACAGCUAUUCAUCGAAAACUACAGCCAAGUACCAAAGGGCUCCAGUGAAAGAAGGCACCAAAUUUGCCUGCAAAAUGUUAUUUCCUGCACUGGUCUAAUUCAGAUCAUGUGGCUGACAUGCAAUUUCUAUUUGACUGAAAGCACCACAUUAAAUUAUUCCAGGCAGAUGUUGUGCACUGAAAGCAGUCGAUAACAUCACAGGGCAAUUCAGAAAGGCCCUGUGCAGCCAGAGACUCCUUGCAGCCUGGAACAUGGGUGCUUGAAAGAUGCUGGUGCAAUUGCUUUGAUGUGCAAAGAAAUAUGAACAGUGGCUCAAGCUUAGUACAUCUUCUGCUAUCCAUGCAGAAUUAUCUGCAUGCCAGAAGGGGAUGCUUUGUUUUGGCAAGGUCUAUUGAAAUGUUCAUACUACUUACUUAGCAUAUGCCAGGGAUGGCAACUUCAAGAAGUCCAGGGCAGCACUUAAGCAGAGUAGAAGUGGAUGGCAUCACUUGAGACUGACUGAAAAAAUCAUGAUUGCCUGUGUAUACUUUUCAAAACACAUUUAUUAUAGGAAUUUCUGCAUUUUUCCAAGCCAGACUGGAGGUGCUAAAUGACAGUGAAGUUUCAAAAGGAACAGCCAAAUUUGUCCUUGAAAUCGUAAUGCUUUGGCCUGGGCACACAGAAUUGGACUCACAGGUCUGCCCAGAAUGCCCUGCAGUGAAAUGGAGCAGGAAUCCCACCUGCAGGGCAUGCAGGAGCCCUCCUGCCUGCCAGCCCCUGGCCAAGUACCAAGUGUCCCCACAGGGCUCUGCACCUGCCCUCCACUCCAAGGCUAUUGGAGGGGUGUGUGACUGGGAGAGCUGUUUUGAGAACAGAUAGGAUAAAAAUAACACCAACUCUUCUUGCUCUCCUAUUCACCACAUGCAGUCACAUAUAUGAAGGGCUUCUUCCACAGAGAUGCAUAAGCAGGAAAUUGUGGCUUACCAGAAGGUAGAAGACACAAGGUUAUAAAGCACUGGUAGAGUUUGUCAGACAUUUAUAUAGGCAGAGUUCCCAUAGCACAUGAGAGAAAGAUCCACUCAUCCAUGCACCGGCUUCAGGACGGGCUGCAGGAUUGCUCUGUGUGCAUCCCCUGCAUUCGGAGGGCCCCUUCUGACCUCCACAUCCACCACUUGGCUCUCUCCAUGGGUCAGAGCUGUGAUAGGAAGAAGGUGGGCAGGCUCAAUCCAGUAUCACAAAGCAAAAAGGGGUUUAUUUUAGCAUAUAAAUAUUCUUACUUUGAGUAUGAUGUGAAUACUAAAGAUAAAAAUUGUAACGUAGGAACAAAAACCCCUUCUGGAUCUUCCUGUUUCCGGUACUAAGAGUCGGUGGUUGUUCUCCAUCCUGGUAGUAGUGGAGCUGCUUCUGUUUAUUCCAUCGGUAGAUAAUGGGUUAAAAGCAGAUCAAUUCCAGCCACACCGGGGGAAACAUUCAAUUCCUUCCAUCUUGUUUCGGUAUCAGGUGAAGACACUGCACUGGCUAAAUGAGGAAACAGUCUGCGGCUUCGUACGCAGGGCCAGUCUCAGAAAUCAAAGGCAUCAAAGCAGAAAGUCCUGAACCAAACCACUCCAAAAGCAGCGGCCUGCAAGGCAGCCCUGAGCAGCACGGGUUUCUUUGCUCCCAGCCCAUCCAUAGCUGACAGAAGGGUGCCUUUCUUGUGCCCUUUACCUCCCUUACCUAGUCACACAGCCGCUGGGACCAGGAUUGGCUUUUAGGGCUUGCUUACACAGAGCAGUUGACUAUUCUGCAAUAGCUGCUGCAGGAUGACUUCAUGUGAACGCGCUCAUUCCGCAGCGGCUGUUGGAGCUCCUGAUUCAUACCAUACCUUAACUGGAGUCGCGUCAGCAAGUCAGCGUGCAUUACAAAGUUAAGCAAGACCUGGGACCCAGUCUGGGGUUUCUAGUCACUUCUCCUUUACAUAGAAUUCAGCUCUAACAGAAGCAGUUGAAAUGUUCCUGAGAAUGACAAAUAACAAAUGAGUAAUUCUUGCUCCAGAGCCACGUAGCCCAAUUAAAAAUAGGUAAGUGAUGUGCAAAGGCAAGUCUGUGCAGUCCGGGGAGAGAGAAGGGAAAAAAAGAAAAAUAGGCAUGCAUUUCUAAUCUAUUGGCACAGCCACGUGAAGCAGAAUUCAUUGAUAAACAUACCAAUUAAUUGGUACACAAAGCCCUUUCAAAAAGGUAAUGACUAAAGCAACCAGACGCUGGGAAAAGGACAGUUACUGUUGUGGAGCCAGCUUAAUUUGGUUAUCCAUCUCCCUUGGUAGAGUUAUUAAAGGGGGAAAAGCUUUGAACACUGUUGUAGGGUUCAGUGAAAAUAAAAACGCAACACAUACAAGCUCUCAGAAAUGCAAACAAGGUGUUAGAAUGCAUGAUGGAGGAUAAUUGAAUAUUACAGUUCUGUUUAACAAAUUGCUUCUCUUUGUGCAAUUACUGCAUCUCCGUCUGCCCUAAGCAGGAAAGAAGCUCAGAAUGAGGCGAUGGGGAUGAGCAGAGAGCUGCGAUGACUGAGAGCAGUUCAGCAGGAAGAGGAGGAAAGCAGGGAGUUAGCAAGGAGAGGGCAGUUCCCAGCGUAAUGAAAGGCAUUAAGUCUAAAACCACCAACGCUUUCCCAAACAUGAAAAUUGAAUACUGAGAGAGAAAAGAAAAAAAAAAAAAAAAAAAAGAAAGAAAUGCAGAUGCAAUAAUGUAAGAAGCUAGCACACAUCACUGUCCUGGAAUCUGAGAAAACAAGCUUUUUAAAUACUUCUGACUGAAAGCAUUUAUGGCAGCGCAGCCCUGGGAUGUUAGAGGAAAGGACAUGAGCAGGAGCAUUGCAGGAUGGAGCCCUUCUGUCGGCAGGCACACAGCUGUGCAGGACAGGGGCGCAGUGACAGGCAGGCGCUGCCUGGUGGGGCAGUCGGUGCUCCCUGCUGCCCAGCACGCUGGUGAUGCUGCACGGCCACCUUCCCACAUCCCGUGACUGUCCUGCAACCAGUGGAGUAAUUUCUAAUGCUAAGUAAAGGACCGGUGGCUCGGGGUGCACCCCCCCCUGCUCCCCAACACCUUGCUCUUAACCAGCCACGCUCCUGCUGGAGUGCUGCGGUCAGGGGUCGUGUCUCCAGGGUUGGUUUGAGAACGUCUCUGGCUGCAUUUUGAUGUGAUAGCCAGAAAUGAGAGACAGAUACAAGAGGGAGGGAAAGUGCUUGGUUUCUUUCAUUUCUCUCACUUUGCCUUCCAGUUCUCAUGCCCUGAGAUUCAUGCAACAGUGCACUCUCCAUACCACAAUUAACAGUGAAUCUUUUCCAAUCCACUCUGACAGAAACUCCUCCCCCAGCCUGUAACACCACUCCAGCUUGCAAGCAAGCCUUCCCAAAGGCAGACCUGCCCUACCGUGCUCGCCCUGCGCCCAGCACUCGUGCUUACCUUCCAGGCCUCCCUGUGCCGGAGGUCACAGUUGACCAUUGCAAGAACAAUAAGGAUUUUUAGGGGCAUUAUGACUGGGUUAGUAAAACACAGCUGCCCCUGAAAGUCCCUCAUUUUUCUUGCUGCCGCUCAGUCCCCUCCACGUCCCUAGGAGGGCAGAGGUCUGAUGGGCUCCUUUCGCUCCAGCAUGGCUCUGCCACCUCAUGCUGGCUUUGCUGAUCUGCCAGCAGCAGCCCAGCCGUGCUGACCGGCCGUGACACAGGCAGUGGAGGUCCAGAACUGCUUUGUCAUCACUGCAGGCUCCCUCCUAAGCAAACGCUGCGCUGCACUUCAGCAUAACGCCAGAUGGCUCGUCUGUCACUCGGCAGAAAUGCCAUCAGACAGAGCGCACCUCACCGUAAGCAACCCUCAAACGCCCCCCAAAUCACCAGGGCAAAAUGAAGCAAUGGCCUGUCCUGCCAGCACUCAGUGCACCGCACUUUGCCCAUUAAACACAGGGAUCCCAGCGCCGGUGAGCACCUGCUGUGUGUGCACUGUGACGCAGCCCCGCGGCGGUGGGAGGGGGUCACAGCGCCCGCCCAGCUGCACGAGCAGUUGUUCUUGAUUUAUUAAUAAAGCUGGGGGUUCAAUUAGGUAAUUGCCACUGAUUUCUCAACCGCUUUCAGUUUAUGAGAUUUUUAAGAGCUAUAUUUUUCCUACUAAAAAGGUGCCAAGUGGUUGGCUGGGAAUUUUCAACCUCAUUUACAAAUCCUCUUGGAAUUCCCAGCCCAACCCAGCAUGUUCAUAGGGCAAGGAGCAGCACUUUUCUUUUAACUCCUUGGUAAUUUGAAUGUUGAUGGCAGUGGACUCAACAAAAUCCAUAGGCAGAUUCCCAUGGGUGCUCCUGCCCUGCUGUUUCCCUGAGCUCGCUGUGGGGUGCUGGAUGGGCACACCAGCCCCAUGCAUGCUGUGGGAAGCCCCGUGGGCUGGGCAAGCACUCUGCCCUUGAGGACAGAGCUCUGGGAGCUGCUCUGGGGCUCCCGGGGCCUUUGGAGCAGAGCAGGGAACCACUGAGGACUCGCAGCACUAUUUUUUUUCUCCCCCUCUUGCAUUAAAAAUGCCCUGCCCCUCAACGAAGAACCCAUUCCCAGCAGUUACAGGUUAGGACAAACACGACACUGUCUCCAUAACCCACAAAGUGUGCUACGAGCAGCCAUCUCACACGGCUCGGGUGCCCCUGUCCGGGGCAGGCCCAGGCGCUCUGCAGGGCUCACUUGCGCUGUGUUACAUCCAGCCUCAGAACAAUGGGGCUGAGCUGCAGAGCUGCGCCGUGUUUGGAGUUGCUGCCGUUCAAACAUGCCAUCUCCAGGGACACGGACGGGGCCGGCGCAGCUGUUCUGCAUGCAAUGGGAAUGCUGAGGUUCGGGCAGCCCAAGGUCCCGGCCACGUGCAGCACAAGAUGAAUGUCCUCACCUGUCUCACCAGCGAAUGAUGCUCCAUGGCAGCAGCCAGCCUGGCACACAGCAAAUGCCUCAGCCCCUCUCAUUGCUGUACGAAGCCACACCUAAUUUUCAUUUAGAAUUUCUUCUAACGCUGGGAAGUUAAAUGAAAGCAACCAUUAUGCCCUGAUUUGGUAAUAAAACACGAGCUGUGAUUCUGAUCCAAACAUUAUUUGCAUCUUUAAAAAAAUAGAAAUGUAACAGCAGUAUCUUAAUAAAAAAAAAAAAGGAGGAGCCCCCUGAAUGCUGAUGACGUUGGUGUCCUAAAUGAAGCAUAAAAGCCAGAUCCUGUGAGAUGCAAAGCAUGAGUCAGAGUGUCAGCAGCCCCACACUGCAAGCAGCGCUGCUGCUUCAUUCGUUUAAGGAAUCAAUUCCUUUGCCAUGAGCACCAAGUAGUUUCUACGACUAAAAUUAAAAUGAGAUGCGUGCCGUUAUUAUUUUCAAAAGGUUCUUUUCUUUUUUCCUCUUGGAAUGACAACAAACAGCUCUCUGUAGUUGGAAGGAACCCCAGGUAAGGACCAGGUCCCCGCAGCACUGCUGUUGCGCUGACUCAGAAGACAACCCGGUGAGACCCUGCAGGGAACCUCCCCAGCAGCACAAGCAGAUGGAGCUCACCAGGGCAGAGCACAGCAGGCAGGUGGACUCACCGCAGAUUUCAGCCCGGUUAGGCUCUCUCACCCUGAUUUUGUUUUACUUGCACUGGGUAGCUGGCAGACUCCUGCAGGAUGGAUGUGUCCCGCCCUGGGGAACCCCCCUUUGUGGAGGGUUUACGUGUUCCUUCUUGAGCUGGAAAAGCAGCACACGGCUCCGUGUGCCACACAGGGACGUGCUGCUCCUGCUGCCACAGGAGCACGGCCAGACUUCAGCAUCAGAGCACGAGUCCCUGGGUUACAGUGAGGUCAGGGGGAGGAUUUGGGACUGACGGCUUUUUGGCCUGUUAGAUUUGAAAUUCAUAAAGCACGAGAACAGCACAGAAAGAAACCAAAGGUAGGAAGUGAAUGCAGUUUCUACAAUUCCUCCAGCUUUAGUCAUUGAAGAGGAUUGUUAGAAACGCACAAAGGGCCGUUUCCCUCAAUUUUUUCAGUGUGAAUUUCAUCUUGACAGUUUCAUUUCAGAAACAAAAAUUGAAAACAAAUUGUGCUAUACACAAAACAAAGGGGCAGAUCCUCAUCUGGAAUAGACUGGUAUUACCAAAUGAGUAACACCCGCUCACAGCAGAGGCUCUGGCCCUUGUGACAGCGGCUGCCUGCUGCCAUCCUGCUCUGCCCGGCCAACAGCCUCAGCCUCUGGUUUCAGCUGGCCGCAGAGCUGACUCCAGGUAGCCUGCUGGAGACAAAGAGCUGCCUUCAGAGCUGCUGAGUGUGCACAGUGCUUCAGGGACCCCGUGUGCACCCUGCUCUCCAGAAGUGGGGCUGUUUCCAGGUGGGCGAGCCAGAGGACGCAGCACCGAGAAAGCAGCCGAUGCCAGCAGGGCCCUGAAAGUAAUGAGCUGCUGUGGAGAAAUACUGGCAAAGCAGGCUUCCAGAAUCCAGUUAUUUAUGGGAUUUACUCUCUGAAAAGAAGCAUUUCUCAGAUUUUUCUUUCAAAACCAACACUGGGCUGAUCAUCAUCUUGAAAAUUAGCAGAGGUCCCCAAGAAAAUAUUAACUGCAGCGCAAGACAACGAAUGCAUGCCUGAAUGUGGUCUGAUCUAUGCCAAACAAGACCUGCCCCAAGAGAGACUGGCACAGCACAACUGUGCCUGGCAUUUGGGAAAUCCCUUCAGCCACAAAUGAGUUACUAAUAGGGCAUAAUUAGCUUUGGGUCCUGCCACCACAGUCUCACUCUGAUCGGGCUGUCCUUUGUGCAAGCCCAAGCGUGCUCUAGAAGUCACCACGCCAGCUGGGUUCAUUGCUUCUCUCACCCGAAAGGAAACAAAAUUACACACAUUGGUUAAAUUCAGGAAGCUUCUCACUUUGCCAGUUAUCAGAAGACAUACUGACUGCUGCUGUCUUCAGUGGCAGCCCGGCUUCCAAGCAGAACAUCAGGCUCUCUGUCCUCAUUGUGCUGAGACACUGAAACGAACACACAGCCGUGCACUGGUGGAGGAGCACCCAUCUCCCAGGGCUGACAAGGGGUGGUUUUGGCCAUAGGCAUUUUACAAUUCAUUUCCUUUGAAUUCUUUUGUUUGGAGCAUCAUUUCUCAGCUCUUACACCUCUGCCACCAUCAGCAAGAGCUGGGAAGCCAGAGUUAUUUUUAGGGGAUGGUACAUUUAGGCCCUGUUAAUCUUGACUGGUCCCUUUGAAAAUGACAACGUUGGAUAAUCAAACACAUUACACAGAGUUUCCAUGGAGCCUGCUUGGAAAACUACCCUCCCACCUUUCAGCAACGGAGGGGCCAAUAGUUCAGAUAGCAGCAUUUAAUACUGCGUCAACUUUCCUCAUUACCGUGACCUCCCUAGCAUUUAUAUGCAGAGACCUCCCAGAAGAAGGAAAUUAUGGCACCUAACUGACUUUAAGUAUAUAAAAUAGAACAAUUAGUCAUCAAAAUGUCUUCUAGAAGCUCCAUACUAUACCCAUCCCAAGCAGCAAAAGACCAUUAUCCAGCUCAGCCUGGCACAGAAGAGGAUGACAGCAAUGCCUGGUCAAAUGGUGUGGUCAAACAAACAUGUUGGCAAAACAAUCCCAGAGCAACGGGGAAGGAGCUGCUGGUGUGAAGGCGAAUGCAUUAAAGUGGUUGGCACAAGGAAAGGGACGGGAAGGGAGAAUGCUAGGAAAAAACUCCAGGGGAGGAGCUCUGGCUAAAAGAGGCUACAUGACUGCUAGUAAAUUAAACAGUGCAGGGACCAGCCAGUCUGCAAUCACCUAGCCACCAACACAGGGCAGUCGCAUCCAAACAGCCUGUUAGUAAUGGUCCCUGGCCCACACAGACUUUCACAUCAUAUCCAGGGCUGGCUGGAAAAGUCCCAGGCCAAAGCUCUGCCCAGGACCACACCAAGCACACGGCCAUGAGCUUUGCAGUGGCCCACGGGUACAGCCACGCAGCACAGCAGCGCAGGCGUCUCAUUGCAGCACUGCACACAUACCUGCUGGGUCCCAGCUGAGGGCAUCACUGCAGAUCUGCACCUGGACUGAUCAUCUACAGGAGAGGCAGAGGUGUGCUGUGGUCAUCAACCCACCAGCACUGCCUCCAAUUCGGAAUCUACCUGCACUCUGACCAGUAAGUUAGGAGAGAAGCAGCCAGGCAAGCUUGGCUUUGUUGGAGCAGAAUCAAGUCUGGCUGGUAUUAAGGAAAGCAAAGCGUUACAGGAGAACAGCAGGAAAUUGCUAAGAGAAAGGGAUUUUUAAAUAACUUCAUUUUAAACAAAACUAGGGAAUUACCAUAAAAUAAAUGGCCACACCUUGCUACUCACACUGUUCUGCCAACAAGACUAGCUUUUCCAUAGCUAUUCAAAUAUGAGACCUGGGUGCCUAACCAGCUCUCUCAAGCUGGUUUCCAAACUCCAGCCAAAAAUCACUUUCUGAUUCACCACUUUCUCAGGCACACCAGUAUGCAGAGUACGCCUGCAGGCUGGUACUGUGCUGUACAAAGCACUUAAGCACACAUUUAAUUACACCGUGGACCAGGGAUGUGAUUAAUCAUAUGCUUGAAGUUAAGCAUGUGCUUAAGCAUGCUACUGACCUGGAGCUUGAAGCAGAUCUAUCUGCUACUGUACUGCUCCCCAUUUUCCAGUUCUUUGAGGCUCAAUAAUUGGAAAGGUUGUAAGAACAUCCCUGUGGUUGUGCACUCCUAAGAAUUCAUCCAAACUCUGGUUUCAGACUUUUUUUUAAUGGCAAUUUUUGCAAUUAAAUUGCAUUCUCCCCACGCCCUCCCCAGCACCAAUUAUGGGCAUGACAGCAGUAUGGAUAUUAUUUAUCAGCAUUAAAACAUGAUGCAGUUAUUAUCAUUCACAAACAUUUUCAUUCAGUUGGGCUGGAUGAUCUUGGUGAUCUUUUCCAACCAUACUGAAUCUAUAAUAUUUUAUGCCUGAGGAGUGUACAAAGUUCUCAAAAGAAAUAUGAAGCACAUCACUGCUAGCAGCACUCAUCUCAUGGAAGAACUCAACCAUAAAACACACAUCAGCUAUGGGUGGCCACGUAAACUCACAUUUCAUUAGCUGCAAUGUACGCCAUCCCAGCCAUUUUUCUCACUGCACCACCUGUCCACCUUCCGAGCAAAGCCUUAUUCCUACUUCAUCACAAUUUCAGGGAGCUCAGACUGUCUCCGGUCGCCAGGGAGGAGCAAGCAGAGGAGCAGGGGAGCAGACAGCUCCUCUUCCUAAGGCACAGCUGAGAGCCUCCUCAGUGACAGAGGAAACCACUGCACAGGGACAUGGAGGGAUGGACCAGAGCUGCAUCCUGAGGCAGGCGUGUGAGUGCCAGCUGGAGCGGCCCUGCAUCAGGGAGCACUGUGCCCACGUUCACCCCAUAAAACCAUCUAACACUGACCAGCCAGGAGAUUGCAAUGAAAGCACAGCACGUGCAAAUCCAUUUCCAAUCAGCAAUGGAGAGCAGAGGAGGUUUGAUUACAAAAGAAGAGGCACUGGUCUCUAAAGGAGGUCUCCUUUGAGAAGGAGAAUAGUCCAACCCUGUGUUUGCAGAAGCCUCCUUAGAGCAGUUACGGGACCUUCCUCCUCAUUUGCUAUGUUCCUUUAUUUCAGCUGGACAGAACUUGGCAACAGGAAGCUGAGCUCGUGUUCUUAACAUCACUGAUGUUUUAGAGAACAGGUUAAAGAAACCCAAAUUCACUUGUCACAGACCUGUAAGUCACAGCAACAUCCAGAAAAGCACAACUGCACCACUCGGUGCCUGCUGAGUGCUGCCAGCACACCUUGUCGGAGGAGCAGCUUCAUAAACACAAUUUUUAGGGUCCUUUCCAUGGACAGCCUGAGGUUGGUAUUUUCCCUUAGGCCCCACAGACUGAGGGACGUUGCAUAUUGCAAGCAGGGGCACCAGGACCAGCUGGCAGCAAAGUGCUGAGUGUGGAAACCCUCUGCCUCCCACUGACCACCCCCUGCUGCUCCUCAUUAGCUGCCAGCUCAGACACCAUGGCGGUGUACUCAUUUUUAUUUUCAGCUCUUUUCCUGCCUGGCCGUCAGCUCAGCAGUGCUGCUUACACUCAAAGCUGUGCCUAGAAUAGUGAAGUUGAGGGGAAUUUCACCUAAAAAAACCCCAAGUAUUUGGCCAUCCCUUCAUUGAUCAGAAGUCAUUGUGGUGGGAGAUCAUUUCUGGAAGCCGAAUUGGGAUAUAUUCCAUUUCUUUCAUCCAAACUAAGGUACUCCCUUCCACAUGUAGGUUUACUCAAGGAGAAGACGAUGGAGCAGAGGAAGAGCGUAUCACUGCCCUGCAGCAGUCUGUGCAGCACCAACUACGGCUGCAGCCAACCUCCAUGCCCUGCACAGCCCACCGUGCUCACAGCAGCCUUGCUGUAUGUAUUUUUAAGCACUCAAACCUGUGCUUGCUGCUUGCAUGCAACCGCUCAUAACUCAGCAGUGGUGUCUAACAAGGUUGGCUAGCUAGUUACAGCAUAUUUCUAUUUGGAAAAUGCACUUUGAAGUUCAAAAAGGGGUAAAGUUCAACAAGUUGCAGACUUUGCAAAGGCUCCUUUCUGAACGCACUGCUGUGAAGCGAUGAAAGCUCUCACGGCUGCUCAUCCACAAUCACUGCCAGCCCCCGAACUGACAGCACGGGGCAAACCCUGCCGGGGCACCCACAGCUCCCCGGAGAUGUUUCAGGGCAUAACUGCUGUGUCAAUGGAGCUCUGUGCUCUCAUCCUGCGACACAACCAACCUCCAAUCCCAAUUUAUAUUAUAGGCUUAAAUUCCUAUCAGAUGCUUUGAAACAAAACCGCAGUUUGUGGGUUUGUUUUUUAAGGCAGUAAUGUCUUAAACUAUAAAGACAUCCAAAACUUUAUGUAACGACCAUUACAUAACACCUCAAACUGGCUCUUAAGCAUUUUCCUUACUCUUUGGAGUUCUUACACUUUUAUUUGGGGCAUGUGAGACAACGAGUUAUACAAGUGCAGUUACUCACAUGGGCCGUGUUUGGAGGGAGCGACGGAGAAGAGCUCUCUGCGGUGGAAAUCUUAAAGGGAGAAGCUUCUUUCUAUGUAAAGAAGUUUGCAAGACACAGAAAAAGCAUUCUCUCGUUGAGUUUCACUGCUCUUAAUGAUCAGUUACAGAAACUGAGAACCCAGGAAGCAGGGCAGAGAUAGUGCUAGCUUUAAAGUCUGAAUGCAUGCAGAGCCUCCAAUGGCACACAGCAUGAAUGUCAUAAAUGUGUGUGAAUGUUCUCAUUCAGGCUGUGAUUUACUCCCCAAGGAGAUGCACAGCUAGCUGAAAUAUGCUACAUGCAAACCAAACCCUUCCAAUGAAGUGAGUGCAGUAUGUGAAUCCUGGAGCUAAAUUUAACACAGCUCUCAUCUCAGCAGAGCUCCCAGCAUUGCAGCUAACGCUGCAGCUCACACGGGCAGAGCUGUGCCGGAGUUCUGCUCCUUCGGUCCACUGCUCUGGAUGAUGUUCCUGAAGCUCCUCACUAACUCAGAUUUAAGAAAUUCAGGGUGAUUUAUUCAGCUGAAUUUUGUCUGUGAAACAAUGGCGCUGAAAACAAGUCAAUCUAAGUUGCUUUUAAAAUGCAGACUCAAACUGGUUUGGGCCCCAUGCAACUCCUGUGAAACAGACACUCCUUAUAUAUUAAAAUACCUUUAAGUGUAUUGCUGAAUAAUCCACGACACUGAAAAAAAUCCUGUAUACCAUAAAUAUCUGAUUACAUUUUUCCAGUCAUUGCAUUAUUUGUUUGGUUUUAUGGUCAAAGGCAAAUUAAAGUGAACUGGGCAAGCUUGGUCGUGAUUAAGCUCCUUCCUCGCUGCUUCUUGCUCUGCAGAACGGCUGUAUUUGCAUAGGAAUAUUCUCCUCCUCCAGAAACAUUUCUUUCCAAAUUAACAAACGAAGUCACAAUUAUACAAAAUAUUGUUGUAGCCAAAGCAGAUUUUGCAAUUUAAAACAUUUUAAAUGCAACCCAGACUUUGAAUCUACUUUCCUAAGUACCCUUCAAGUGUAAAAUACACCCACAGCAGUCCGACUGAGGAAUCUGUACCUUCCAUGAAAUAACAAAACAGCACAAACAGUUUAAAAUCUAGCACGUUUUAACUGAACUCCAUUCAAAUUCUUCCUUAUGAAACAAUCUCUCUUUUCAUGCAAUACUUUUCCUGCAGAUUCUGGCUCCAAACUCACACAUCACUUUGCUACAACCCGUUCUGCAGUGCUGACUGCCCGCCGGGUCCCACCGCCCCCAAUUUGUUCAUCUUUUAAUCAGAAGGAAUUCCUGCCCACCUCUCAGCAUUUCUCUCUAUAAGCUCUUAAUUCAUUUUCCAGCAUUGGUAGCUUGCUGCUCGCUCCACCCUCUCAAAUAUCAGCAAUCACUGCCGCUCUUAAAGAGAACUCUGUUUUGGGGAAACGUGAUAUUAUUCCAGAUGUUUCAGCUAUGGCUGCUCUGCCCAACCCGGCCUGGUCAGUGCUCUGCCACGAAGCUCAGCAUCAAACAGCUUCUGGGUUUUAUUUCUUAAACUCCUGCACUGCUGUAUGGGAACGUAGCCCUCCUGGCAGCAAAGCACGCCGAGCCCUGCACUGCACAGAGCAACAGAGGCGCUCCUGAAGAGCUCUGCAUUUCGUCCCAGAAGCACAAAAGCACAGCUCAGUUGGGCACAUCACCAGCCCAGUGGCUAUCAGCUCCUGCAAGCUGCUGGUUCAAUUUAAUUUCAGCGCUUCAGACCACAUUUCUGACAGUAUUUUACGAGUUACCAGGCAAAGAGAGAUUGCUGAAUGAAAUCUGCUUUCUAAUUUUACAGUUUGAGGAAAUUCUAUGCCUACCAUUGCAAAAAAAAAAAAAAAAAGAAGCAAAGUGCACAUUGAGAAAUUGGAAGCAGCAGUAAGCAGCGGUGACACCACUUCACUGCAUGGAGGUUCCAGCAGGAGAAGGGUGGAGCGAGGAGCAGCCCCGGCCCUGCUGUGAUGGGCAGCAUUUGUGCAACAAAGCGAGGGCAGACAGCAGUGUGCCAUGGGCUGCCAGACCGCAGGGGAACACAGCUGCCUGAGCAAGGCUGCAGAUCCUUGGUGAGAUGGGAUGUCAUACAGUUAAGGUAAUGUUAAUGAAUGGCAGCACUAGCAGGCAUGGCCAAGAUUCCAAUCCCAGACCUGUAAGCGGUGUCACUAAUCUGCACUGGAAAAAUACUCCAAUCCUGCACGAUGCCAUGCAAUGUGAGCACACCACGCACCCACAGGGACUUGCAGGACGCUGGGAAAAACUUUCUGUCCGAAGAGAGGAAGAACAGAGGUCCACUGCUGCCACGGAUAGGAAAAAACCAACAACCCAAUCCUCCAGAGCUGAAAGGCCACCAGGAUCCACGUAAAAUCCAGGAAAUCUAUACAAAGCCAUAGCUACUGAGCAAUGCCUCGGAAGUACUUUCAUUAUUUAGUGCUAAAGCAAUAUGCUGUUAACCUGCAGUCCAUCGGCUGAAGCCCUGGAAGGCUGUGCCCUGCAGCCCUGGAGGCACUCCUGCUUCUCCUCUCCCCUUUGAGACAUCACUUUUGGGUCCCCAGGAAGGGAAGCGAUGAAGCCAGCAGGCGCUGGAAGGCUUUUCUCAAGCAGGCCAGCAGUGGGAAGGGAAAAGUGCGCUCCCAUCAGCUGGCCUGCCCCUGUGUAAGGAAGGACCAGCCUGCAGUAGGGCUGGCACUGAGCACGUGGCUUUGCCUUCUGAGGACAGUGCCAAGAACGGGGGGAAAGGGGAGGUCUGUGAGGUGGCUGCUUCAGGCCUACAGAAGUCUGCACACCCAGAGAGCAAGACUGUAACACACGGCCAGGCUGCUGCGAAAGGUCAGACCAAACAACGGGGCUGAUAGCAGGCACAGCCUCCAUCUAACCUUCCCUCCUUGAUCACAUAAACCUGUAAUGCAGAUACUGCGCUCGCCAUGCUCAGUGCCCUUCUGCAACUCCAAAUACAGCCCUGGCUUGAAGGUCUCUAUUUGCAAACAUAGAGGACCAGUGGUUCCUAAACUGCAGGCAAACAUUUGACUUCUCUUGGUCCAAUUCAAAGAAUAUCCUGCACAAACCCCACCCCUCUGCCCAACAACUCAGGCCCUUAAUGCCUAGACAGCUUUCUUUCAGGCCUUAUCACAGAUAAAAUAUGGCCCCUUUUUUGUUGAAGGAGUAGGACUUGCCAAAUAUUUACCAACUCUUUCAGCAGGCUGAAAAUGUCACUCUUGCAGUGUAAUAAACUUCCCCAGAAAGGCCCUGAUAAAUAGAGAGCCUUGCUGUACUGCCCAGAACUAGUUUAUUGUGGCUUAAGAAUUGCCAAGUCUGACGGAUGAAGAAAGCACAUUUGUACACACAGAAACAUUAGCAAGAGAGGCAUAAAGUUUAGAAGUGAAAAUAAAACAAAGUCCCAUUAUUAUUAACUGAGGUGUGGGGGGGAAAAUAAUAGAGCCUGCAUCCCAGAGAGCAGAGCAUGUUACUGAAAGCUCCAGAGCUAAAAGCAGUAAUUUAAGAGCUUGUCCACAACUUGCAGCAGAAGCUCAAACCAUCUUAUUUAGCAUUUGGAAAGUGCUAAAGUGUGGCCUACCCCCAGUCCAGCCUUCAGAGCAACACUAUGCAAAAAUAAAAUAAAAUAGUUUUGCUUUGUAAUCUGACCCACAAAAAGUCAUUUGGGCACGAGGGAAUGCUCUCCUCCAGCCUGGGCUUUAAUUCAGAGGGAAUGUUUAAACAGAGCAGUGUAAAACAGAUGCUGAGAAAUACAUCUGCGUGGCACUGCGUGUUCUUUGGGGCACCAACAGAAGUUGGGAGCUGCUUAUCAAUGUAGCACAUAUGGCUACAAUAGCUGCAAACAGUGCAGGUGAAUGGAGAAAAAUGACAUUCUCAGCAUCACGAAGUCCAUCAGCAGAGUUCUGGCAGCCAUGAAUAACUGCACCCAUGUCAGCUCAAAUGGACGAAUGCUGCUGGGACAGAAAUGUGUCCUUUCACCUUAGCAAAUGCCAUUAGGAGGAAAAAAAAAAAUCCAGAGGCAACUAAAGAGGCAGAACUCAAACAAACAGAUUUAACACAUCCCGAUGUUGGCACUGAGCUCCACAAGCACCACGCUUUGACUGCAUCUUGAAUGAAGGACCCAAACCAAAACACAGCACCUCAGUACCGCCACGCAGCGCUCCAGCACGGAGCUCUGGGGGCUGAACUUGCUUAAAAGCAGGAAGAAAACAAUUACUGCUGGAAAAAAAAAAUAUAUCCACAUUAUGCUAAAGCUGGCAAAAGCUAAACCCAGCAGUUUACCUGGCUUUCCAGAGCAAACCACAAUUAAGAAAGUCUCCUAUGAAAGAGAAAACUCCAGUUCAGCCCACCAGUAUUACAGCCGGGCAGCACCAGCAGCCGCAGCAGCAAUCACUGCUGGGCAGCGAUACCUGAGAAGCUGCACAAGAAGUUGCAAGGAGAGUGCUAAGGAGGCACAGCAACCUCCCCCCCUGCUCCCCCCUUUCACACCAGCAGGUUUUAAUGUUAAUGAUACGGCUCCGUAUGCUUUAAGUAUUUUUACACCAUGCCUGCCGUCCCGUAGCUCUCUCGUUCCAGGGCGGAUGAUUAGAAUCAGAUUUCUGUGAUUUCACUGCAGAUUAAUUUCGUUAAGAGCUGAAGACCCGCGGGGAGGAAGGGCUGCGAGCAGACCGACAGACCCCCCCCGGCAGCGUCCUCUCCAAAAAGGGCAGCAGCAUUUCUGCCUUUCCUCCGUACUUUCGCAUACUUUUCCUUUUUGUGGCCGCGAGGCUGAAAAAAUGGGCGUACGGGGAAAAGAAACGUGCAGAAAUAAAUUCCUUCAAGUUCUGGUUUCAAAGAAAGCUCCCAACCAGCACCAAGAGGAGAAUGGGCCCAAGGCAGCCCUGCUCCCACCAUGCCCACAGCCAACGGCAGCUGGAACUGCACACAGAUCAGCACCGGACACCCAUCCGUGUGCACAGACACACGUCAGAGGGACGGCUAUUAAUACACCUUGUAUGUGCUGUGCUGGACACAGAGGGCCGAGCAGUGGUCUCUAAUACCAUUUACAAACUGUUACUAAUAGCAAAACACAACGUGAAUGUUUUCUAUGGGUAAAGCGUACAGAAUGCAGCACUGAAACUGGGUUUUGUUUGCAAAGCUCUUAUAGGAUCCGAGUGUAAAAGUUGCGUAGGCUCUGUGUGCGCACUCAGGGCAGCACUACAGCAAAGAAAGAAUUCCGCUUAAAACCUUCCUCUGUGCUUUCUGAGCCAUCCCAUCUUCCAUUUGCUUUUAUAGAACAUGGCCACGAGAACCCUGCUGCCAAUUGGCCUUCCUCCUAAUUCUACAGCACUGCUCUCGACUUGACAAGAGAGAAGGGAAGACAUCCAUGGCAAACAAACAAUCACGAGGAGCCGCAAAAUAAUUCUAAGAACCUAAAAUGUAACACAACAUAAUACAGAAGGACACGGAAGCAAUAAAUCCAUGCUAGAGGAGCAAACAGCCAUCCCCACACAUGGCGUUGUAUGCGUAUGGCGCCCAAAAAGGAGCACAAACCAACAGAAUCCACAGAAGUGCAGCAUCAAAACCAAAGGCAAAUCAUGAGGAGCACCCGAAGUGCGAGGGGAAAAAGUAGUGCCAUAAACACGAGGAGUAGCGGAGCCAGGCUGCUCCGUGCUUGUGUGACCACAUCUAUUAAAAGGGGGGAAAAGGGGGGAAAAAAAAAGGAAAACAAAGAAGAGAGGAAAUAAAGAAGAAAACAGACGCGUUUUCUGAAAGUGAAAGCGGUGAGGAUGGCCGCCCUCCCGGCACGGCGUCCCACACGGCCACCGACGGCACCGACCCGACGCGAACGGCCGCGGCC